GAUCUGCAGGUUCCCGGUCUCCGGUGGGCGGGGCCUGUACAGGCCGUGCUGAGGGUUUGGUCGCUUGGUGACGCCCGUCUGUGCGCAUGCGCAUUGUGCUCCACUGACAGCGGAACUGAGGGGAGGCAGCAGCUAUGGCAGACGUGGAGGAGACAUUGAAGAGGAUCCAGAGCCAGAAGGGCGUCCAGGGGAUCAUUAUCGUAAACUCAGAAGGAAUUCCCAUAAAGAGCACAAUGGACAACGCGACCACGGCCCAGUACGCCGGCCUGAUGCAUCAGCUGGUGAUGAAGGCCCGAAGCUCAGUGCGGGACAUAGACCCCCAGAACGAUCUGACCUUCCUCAGGGUCCGAUCCAAGAAGAACGAGAUUAUGAUCGCUCCAGAUAAAGAUUACAUAUUAGUCGUCAUCCAGCAGCCCUCGGAGUGACCGCCCAUCUAGGUUCCCGCCUUCCUCAUUCCCAUGUUCUGGAUUCCUCCAUGUUGUUUUCGGAUUCGGCCCUUCCGGAUGUGCAGCCAGAGAUGCAAAAUGAAGACUUCGACCUUACAGCUCUUCUCCAUCACCGACGCGUUUUCUAUUACCCGCUCUCCUGGAUAAUGCUGCAGCGGGGGACCAUAUACACUGAGCCCUGUGCUGUGAUCUCAUUUUAACCAGACCCUUAUAGAAAGCUGCCUCUUAGGGGUCCUAUUUCUUAGAGUAGGGUUUCCCAACCAGGGUGCCUUCUGCUGUUGCUAAACUACAACUGCCAGUAUGCCUAGGCAUCUGAGAUGAGAGGGAAGCCUUGAUUUACCUUUCAGGGACAGUUAAUAAAGGAUUCCCUCAAAUUUAAGCAGCUUUUGACUGUCUUGGGCAUGCUGGGAGUUUGUUUUACAACAGCAGGAGGGAUUCAGUUUGGAGACCACUGCACUAGAGCAGUGUUUCCUAACAACCGUGCCCCCAGCUGUUGCAAUACUACAGCUGCCAGCAUGUCGGGACAGUCAAAAGCCUGUCUGCUUUCUCUAGAGCAGUGGUCCGCAGGUUGGAGACCAUUGCUCUAGAGCAUCCUCACUGUCCCAGAAAGGUAAAUCAUGGCUUUUGCCUCAUCUCAGCAGCCUGUGGCUGUCCAGGCAUGCUGGAAGUUGUAGUUUUGCAACAGCUGGAGGCACUCUUGAGUGGGAAACAUUGGCUUAGAGAAUUUAAAGGAACACUAAACCUAGUAAUAAGUGAGGGGGGCCGCCUUAUCAUGAGGAGGGGGACAUGGCGGUGCUCCGGGUACAUAUAUAGAAGAUUUCUUUAUUUAUUUAUUUCUUAUUUAGACAAAACAAAUCAUCAGAUAGAAGGCGGGAGGAGUCGGGGUGUUUACUUAUGUUCGUGCUCUAUCUGUUCCUUUAACCCUCUUAGGAUGUAACAUGGCCAUUCGUUUUUUCCUUCUUACAUCAUCACGGCUGCCAUUAUCGCAUUGUACGCUACUUUAUUUGCCAAGUCAUUGCAUUGAUUUUAAUUUUUUUUAUUUUUUUGCAAUUGCAGCAAAACCGCGCAAUAUUUAUAUCUGCAUUAAAACCUUAAAAUUGUACCUGU
This is an RNA transcript of Hyla sarda, 1553 nucleotides long. It is a transcript of the gene named dynein light chain roadblock-type 1, with no coding region annotated. Lineage: Eukaryota; Metazoa; Chordata; Amphibia; Anura; Hylidae. The transcript has 5 exons. The record is from RefSeq and is a predicted model, not a curated record.